GACGAACGCUGGCGGCGUGCUUAACACAUGCAAGUCGAACGGAAAGGCCCUGCUUUUGUGGGGUGCUCGAGUGGCGAACGGGUGAGUAACACGUGAGUAACCUGCCCUUGACUUUGGGAUAACUUCAGGAAACUGGGGCUAAUACCGGAUAGGAGCACCCGCUGCAAGGGGGGGGUUGGAAAGUUUCGGCGGUUGGGGUUGGACUCGCGGCUUAUCAGCUUGUUGGUGGGGUAGUGGCUUACCAAGGCUUUGACGGGUAGCCGACCUGAGAGGGUGACCGGCCACAUUGGGACUGAGAUACGGCCCAGACUCCUCCGGGAGGCAGCAGUGGGGAAUAUUGCACAAUGGGCGGAACCCUGAUGCAGCAACGCCGCGUGCGGGAUGACGGCCUUCGGGUUGUAAACCGCUUUCGCCUGUGACGAAGCGUGAGUGACGGUAAUGGGUAAAGAAGCACCGGCUAACUACGUG
RNAcentral lists this ribosomal RNA (468 nucleotides) under uncultured bacterium. RNAcentral describes it as "partial 16S ribosomal RNA". It matches the Rfam family "Bacterial small subunit ribosomal RNA", at positions 28 to 507 of the family's 1533-position model. The record is from RNAcentral.